CACGCCCUAAACGAUGCGAACUGGAUGUUGGGUGCAAUUUGGCACGCAGUAUCGAAGCUAACGCGUUAAGUUCGCCGCCUGGGGAGUACGGUCGCAAGACUGAAACUCAAAGGAAUUGACGGGGGCCCGCACAAGCGGUGGAGUAUGUGGUUUAAUUCGAUGCAACGCGAAGAACCUUACCUGGUCUUGACAUGUCGAGAACUUUCCAGAGAUGGAUUGGUGCCUUCGGGAACUCGAACACAGGUGC
This 247-nucleotide ribosomal RNA is filed under the name uncultured bacterium. RNAcentral describes it as "partial 16S ribosomal RNA". It matches the Rfam family "Bacterial small subunit ribosomal RNA", at positions 796 to 1041 of the family's 1533-position model. The record is from RNAcentral.